Populus euphratica (Euphrates poplar) is the source of this 1358-nucleotide long non-coding RNA. RefSeq lists it as uncharacterized. NCBI's taxonomy places the organism in Eukaryota, Viridiplantae, Streptophyta, Magnoliopsida, Malpighiales, Salicaceae. The record is from RefSeq and is a predicted model, not a curated record. The transcript has 2 exons.
AUGGGAUUAGCCGCUUCAAUGGGAUCUUUUAUCCUAGUCGGAGGAAAAAUUACCAAACGUCUAGCAUUCCCUCACGCUUGGGUAAUGAUCCAUCAACCUUUUGCUGCUUUUUAUGAAGCACAAAUAGGAGAAUUUUUCCUAGAAGCGGAAGAACUACUGAAACUACGCGAAAUCCUCACAAGGGUUUAUGCACAAAGAACAGGCAAACCCUUAUGGGUUGUAUCUGAAGACAUGGAAAGGGAUGUUUUUAUGUCAGCAGCAGAAGCCCAAGUUCAUGGAAUUGUUGAUCUUGUAGCAGUUGCAUAAAAAAUAGCAGGAAUUUCACACAAAUCGCGAUUUGAGAUUUUAGUUUCUUACCGAGGUUUCAUAUUCUAUUUUAAUAUUUUAUUAAAAUAGAAUAUGAAUAUAGAAAGAAUUCAUAAUCAUCCGGUUAGGAUCGAUCUAAACCAGCCCAUUAUGCAUACGAUUCAACAUGCCAACUAUUAAACAACUUAUUAGAAACAAAAGCUAGCCAAUCAGAAAUGUCACCAAAUCCCCCGCUCUCGGGGGAUGCCCUCAGCGCCGAGGGACAUGUACUAGGGUGUAUGUGCGACUCGUUCAGAUUUCAGAUUGUGGGUGGGGACAAAAGAAAGAAUUUUUCCACUAUCCGUGAUCAGUACCGAUGAAUAGGAUAGAAUGGAAGACUCCCCUUCACUAUCUAAAAUGAAAAAAAAAAGAUCUAGAAUAUGCUUCUAUUGUGUAUCAAAUUUAUGGUUUCUAUUGGUGCAAAUUCAAUUACCUCAAUUUUCAAUUGAAAAUGCGAAAGAAUUCCCCAUUGGUAGCAAAUGAUUAUCUGUUAAGCAGGGCAAAUCUUAUUUAAAUUAAAAAGCCGAAAAUGGAUGCCUCUACUCUUGCAAGAACGGACUAACAAGGUCAGCUAAUCAGCUAAUCCACAUAAUUAAAUACCGUUACUGUAAAAACGGAUCUCGUUGUGAAAGACCUACUACUGAGGAAUUCAUGGGUAGAGCCAAAAAGUGUAAACUGUACAAGUUAACAAUAGCAUUGAUUCGAUCAAGUAAGGGGCUCCGGUGUAUAGAGAGGACCUCGCCGUUUAAGAAAUAACCAUAGAAACGAUGGAACCCACUAUUUAUUUAUCCAUUUCUAUUUACUACUUAAUUACUACUUAUUUUUAUUUACUAUAUUUUUGUUAUUUUUGUUUGAUACCUAGUACCAAUAAGAUUUCUUAUUUCAAGGCGAAAUGCUUAUAAAAAAAAAAAAAGAAAAAAUAGUGGUUGGGAAGGUUAGAGUAGCAAAAGCCGUUGGAAUUAUUAUUUUAUACAUUGGAAGAAUCCGUUUUGUUAUUCUAGAAAAGGGAAAAA